CAUGUCACCGGGAUACACAAUCAGCUCUCAAGAGUAUCGAUCUCAGCCUCUCACUCGUGUGAAGAAGAAAUUAGUAGGUUCUGGACGAACCGUACAUAUGGAUGUACCGUACAAAAGCUCUCAAGACCACAUAUAUUAUUUUAAGCUAGUUAACGUCUAAAGAGUGAAAGAGAAAACGGAGUCACACAGCUCCGUCCCUCCAUUUGAGCGCGGCAACCAACAGCGCAUGAAUGAGAUUGAGCCAGGAUGCCACGCAAGUUCAUUCCCAAGAACCUCCGGGAGACAGACCGGACCAACCUCGAACUGGCAUUCAACUACAGGAUUGAGCACAACACCAGCAUACGGAGGGCAGCUCGGGAGUUUGGUGUCAAGGUUAUGACUCUGCAGGAUGCCUUCACAAGGAGCAAAGCCAAAUCUGAUGGGCACACCUUUGUAAUUCCCCAAGAAAAUUUUAACAGGAUUUUCAACAAGAAUCAGGAGGAAAUGCUGUGCAAAUAUGCCAUACAUGUGGCAAGACUGUUCUAUGGGAUGACUCGCAAGGAAUUUCGCCGACUUGCAUAUGAGUAUGCUGUGGCUUGCAAGUGCUCCAAUAUCCCUGCAAACUGGCAUGCCACACAACUGGCAAACGAAAAUUGGCUCCAGCGUUUCAUCAGGUUUCCCUACUCUCUUCUUUCAUAUAAUAUCAAGUAGGCAUUUUUGUUUGUUUUAAGCCUUGUAAGCUUUUUAAGGCAAAGAAGAUAAUGUAACCAUAUUUUUUCUCAACUUUUUGUGUAAUAAAGGAAGAUUAAAAUUAAA
Molecule: long non-coding RNA, 795 nt
Organism: Eriocheir sinensis (Chinese mitten crab)
Lineage: Eukaryota; Metazoa; Arthropoda; Malacostraca; Decapoda; Varunidae
Exons: 2
Source: RefSeq, a predicted model, not a curated record